ACAUCAGAGGACCUUCACUUUGGAGAGAAACAAAAAAGCAACAAGCGCCGCUUCCUCCUCUUUUUCAACUCUUCUCUGAUCUUCAAUACAUAGAGAAAGGGGGAUCCCAUUUUUCCAAACGAGCCAGCCGUCCCACUUCUCUCUACUCUUCAUCACACAAGAAUAAAGAAGAAACUUUUCUCUUUGACAAAGAAAAACCAAAUCGCCUGCUCUUCUCUCAUCUUCAUACAUACACGCGUUCCAAAACAUGAAUUAGCAGAUGAAAACGGAUUUUCAAAAAAAAUCAAAAGGGGAAUCUUAAAUCUGAAAAUUUAAAAAAAAAAUGCAUAAGAAAUAGCUGAGAAGACUUCUGAAACGAAAACUUUUUUGGAAAUCCAAAGUGAAAUAAAUAUUUCAAAGGAAGAGGAAUGGGUUGAAUUGUGCUUGCUGCUGUUGCAAAGUUGCUGAGUUCCGAUUUCCUGACUUCCGGCAUUUGGUUUGGUUCGUCAAAGUUUAUUUGCAGCUGUUGAGGGGCGCUAUAUCUUUAACGGAUGCAGGUGGUUCCACAAUAGGGGGCAUUGAUCAGUGACAACAGUACACCCUCUCCUCAGCUGACUUGGUGAGCCCCACUUCAUCCGGUGUCUUGUAUCUCCCGUCCUCUAUGUUUAGUGUUUUGAGGUACAGCCGGAGCCUUGUUGCCGGCACCAUCAUGCUACUCUUUUAUAUCUAUUAGGCUCCGUAAUAGCGUGGGUGGAACCUAUGUUUUGGGAAUUCAAGUUAGAAAUGUUGUAUUUGUAUCAUAUGUUUCCCUACUAGACCAUGAAUAUGUAAUGUAAUAUUUUGGAAAAUCUUGAAUGAAGUUCUAACGGUAAUGAAAUUUGGAUUUUUCAUGUAA
Long non-coding RNA from Nicotiana attenuata, 874 nucleotides. RefSeq lists it as uncharacterized. Lineage: Eukaryota; Viridiplantae; Streptophyta; Magnoliopsida; Solanales; Solanaceae. The transcript is spliced from 2 exons. The record is from RefSeq and is a predicted model, not a curated record.